Molecule: long non-coding RNA, 1133 nt
Organism: Neofelis nebulosa (Clouded leopard)
Lineage: Eukaryota; Metazoa; Chordata; Mammalia; Carnivora; Felidae
Exons: 5
Source: RefSeq, a predicted model, not a curated record
AGGCAGAAAAUAUAGCCCCAAAUGUCGUCUACAUUCUUUCUUUCGUAUGUCACAACCAUUUAAAACAAAUUCUAGAACCUUUAUUCUCUUCCUUCUCCUCUCAAGAAGACAGGUCUGUAGGAUCCAUAAACAGAGUUUCUCAUGGAUUCAUGUUGUCUAUACUUUAUGUCAUGGCCUCUCCUGUAGGCAAAAGCCCUGAAAGGCCUCCAAUCCUCUGGAAUUCUGUUGGAGAGAAAUCUCAACCCCCCAAAGUGGUAUAAGGAUUAAAGGAGAAAGCUCCAGCAAGCAUCGAGCGGUGGACCUCACUGAUCAGAAGCUUGUCCCUAUAACUUCUACCCACUGAUUCCAGAUGUAUUGCGGCAACCACAUGAAACCAGGGUGACCCUUGAACAGCUCUCCGUGUCUACUUUUAUCCAUGCCCAACAGCCUUAUUUUCGAUGGUUUUUCCUAAGAGAGACAGAGCACGAACAGGGGAGAGGGGCAGAGGGGGAGAGAGAGAAUCUGAAGCAGGCUCGACACCCAGUGCCCAGACCAACACGGGGCUCAGUCUCCCGACCUGGGGAUCGUGACCUGAGCCAAAACCAAGAGUCGGAUGCGCAACCAACUGAGCCAUCCAGACGUAGGAUUAUCAUUGCCACGGCUUUUAUGUGUAUCAGCUUUAACUGAAAUCUUUUUGUUCUGGAUCAGAAACAGAAUGAAAAUGUUCAUGAAGCAUAGAAUGCAUAAACGAACGCCGUCUGCUUCUUACAGCCUGUAAAACAUUUUUAAUGUAAAAUAUUUUGAAAAAAAUAAAAGAAGAGAAACGUUUCAUAUCAUGGGAAAAGAUACCGAACUUGAAUUUCAGUGCCCAUAAACCAAGUUUUAUCAGAACACGACCAGGAUCACGUGUUGACAGACCGGCUGCGGCUGCCUUUCCCGCUAUGAUUCCAGAGUCGAGGAGUCAGACAGGGACCCGUAUGGCCCUUUUUACAGAAAUGUUUGCGGACCCCUGCUGUGUGGCCAUGGAGUUGGUGAACAAGGAGACUUUCAUAAAUACAAUGUGGAGAGAAAAGAGCUAGCCUCCAGAGUGCUUGCCUGUAACCCACGCAAAAUUAAUCUACGGGGAGAGGAGUCUGAAGGCAGCGACCUCUGUG